GCCCAGCUAGCUCAGUCGGUAGAGCAUGAGACUCUUAAUCUCAGGGUCGUAGGUUUGAGCCCCGAUAUGGGUG
RNAcentral lists this transfer RNA (73 nucleotides) under Mus musculus (house mouse). It matches the Rfam family "tRNA". Rfam says of the family: Transfer RNA (tRNA) molecules are approximately 80 nucleotides in length. Their secondary structure includes four short double-helical elements and three loops (D, anti-codon, and T loops). Lineage: Eukaryota; Metazoa; Chordata; Mammalia; Rodentia; Muridae. The record is from Rfam by way of RNAcentral.